RNAcentral lists this ribosomal RNA (1424 nucleotides) under uncultured organism. Its description in RNAcentral is "partial small subunit ribosomal RNA". It matches the Rfam family "Bacterial small subunit ribosomal RNA". The record is from RNAcentral.
GCUUACACAUGCAAGUCGAACGGAAAGGCCCUGCUUUUGUGGGGUGCUCGAGUGGCGAACGGGUGAGUAACACGUGAGUAACCUGCCCUUGACUUUGGGAUAACUUCAGGAAACUGGGGCUAAUACCGGAUAGGAGCUCCUGCUGCAUGGUGGGGGUUGGAAAGUUUCGGCGGUUGGGGAUGGACUCGCGGCUUAUCAGCUUGUUGGUGGGGUAGUGGCUUACCAAGGCUUUGACGGGUAGCCGGCCUGAGAGGGUGACCGGCCACAUUGGGACUGAGAUACGGCCCAGACUCCUACGGGAGGCAGCAGUGGGGAAUAUUGCACAAUGGGCGGAAGCCUGAUGCAGCAACGCCGCGUGCGGGAUGACGGCCUUCGGGUUGUAAACCGCUUUCGCCUGUGACGAAGCGUGAGUGACGGUAAUGGGUAAAGAAGCACCGGCUAACUACGUGCCAGCAGCCGCGGUGAUACGUAGGGUGCGAGCGUUGUCCGGAUUUAUUGGGCGUAAAGGGCUCGUAGGUGGUUGAUCGCGUCGGAAGUGUAAUCUUGGGGCUUAACCCUGAGCGUGCUUUCGAUACGGGUUGACUUGAGGAAGGUAGGGGAGAAUGGAAUUCCUGGUGGAGCGGUGGAAUGCGCAGAUAUCAGGAGGAACACCAGUGGCGAAGGCGGUUCUCUGGGCCUUUCCUGACGCUGAGGAGCGAAAGCGUGGGGAGCGAACAGGCUUAGAUACCCUGGUAGUCCACGCUGUAAACGGUGGGUACUAGGUGUGGGGUCCAUUCCACGGGUUCCGUGCCGUAGCUAACGCUUUAAGUACCCCGCCUGGGGAGUACGGCCGCAAGGCUAAAACUCAAAGGAAUUGACGGGGCCCCGCACAAGCGGCGGAGCAUGCGGAUUAAUUCGAUGCAACGCGUAGAACCUUACCUGGGUUUGACAUGGAUCGGGAGUGCUCAGAGAUGGGUGUGCCUCUUUUGGGGUCGGUUCACAGGUGGUGCAUGGCUGUCGUCAGCUCGUGUCGUGAGAUGUUGGGUUAAGUCCCGCAACGAGCGCAACCCUUGUUCACUGUUGCCAGCACGUUAUGGUGGGGACUCAGUGGAGACCGCCGGGGUCAACUCGGAGGAAGGUGGGGAUGACGUCAAGUCAUCAUGCCCCUUAUGUCCAGGGCUUCACGCAUGCUACAAUGGCUGGUACAGAGAGUGGCGAGCCUGUGAGGGUGAGCGAAUCUCGGAAAGCCGGUCUCAGUUCGGAUUGGGGUCUGCAACUCGACCUCAUGAAGUCGGAGUCGCUAGUAAUCGCAGAUCAGCAACGCUGCGGUGAAUACGUUCCCGGGGCUUGUACACACCGCCCGUCAAGUCAUGAAAGUUGGUAACACCCGAAGCCGGUGGCCUAACCGUUGUGGGGGAGCCGUCGAAGGUGGGACUGGUGAUUAG